Molecule: transfer RNA, 77 nt
Filed under: Frankia sp.
Lineage: Bacteria; Bacillati; Actinomycetota; Actinomycetes; Frankiales; Frankiaceae
Also listed under: 49 other names
Description: tRNA-Pro
Rfam family: tRNA
About the family: Transfer RNA (tRNA) molecules are approximately 80 nucleotides in length. Their secondary structure includes four short double-helical elements and three loops (D, anti-codon, and T loops).
Source: RNAcentral
CGGGACGUGGCGCAGUUUGGUAGCGCACUUGACUGGGGGUCAAGGGGUCGUGGGUUCAAAUCCCGCCGUCCCGACCA